This 445-nucleotide ribosomal RNA is filed under the name uncultured bacterium. RNAcentral describes it as "partial 16S ribosomal RNA". It matches the Rfam family "Bacterial small subunit ribosomal RNA", at positions 354 to 796 of the family's 1533-position model. The record is from RNAcentral.
GUGAGGAAUAUUGCGCAAUGGAGGCAACUCUGACGCAGCCAUGCCGCGUGCAGGAAGAAGGCGCUACGCGUUGUAAACUGCUUUUAACCGGGAAGAAACCCCAGGACGUGUCCUGGGUUGACGGUACCGGAGGAAUAAGCACCGGCUAACUUCGUGCCAGCAGCCGCGGUAAUACGAAGGGUGCAAGCGUUAUCUGGAUUCAUUGGGUUUAAAGGGUGCGUAGGCGGAGCGUUAAGUCAGUGGUGAAAUCCUGCAGCUUAACUGUAGACUUGCCAUUGAUACUGGCGCUCUUGAGUGCGCUUGAAGUGGGCGGAAUGUGCCGUGUAGCGGUGAAAUGCUUAGAUAUGGCACAGAACACCAAUUGCGAAGGCAGCUCACUAAGGCGAUACUGACGCUGAGGCACGAAAGCGUGGGGAUCGAACAGGAUUAGAUACCCCAGUAGUCC